Molecule: ribosomal RNA, 428 nt
Filed under: uncultured bacterium
Lineage: Bacteria
Description: bacterial SSU rRNA
Rfam family: Bacterial small subunit ribosomal RNA
Source: RNAcentral
AUUGAACGCUGGCGGCAUGCUUUACACAUGCAAGUCGAACGGCAGCACGGGCUUCGGCCUGGUGGCGAGUGGCGAACGGGUGAGUAAUGCAUCGGAACGUGCCCAUGUUGUGGGGGAUAACUACGCGAAAGCGUGGCUAAUACCGCAUACGCCCUGAGGGGGAAAGCGGGGGAUUCUUCGGAACCUCGCGCAAUUGGAGCGGCCGAUGUCAGAUUAGCUUGUUGGUGAGGUAAAGGCUCACCAAGGCGACGAUCUGUAGCGGGUCUGAGAGGAUGAUCCGCCACACUGGGACUGAGACACGGCCCAGACUCCUACGGGAGGCAGCAGUGGGGAAUUUUGGACAAUGGGGGCAACCCUGAUCCAGCCAUGCCGCGUGAGUGAAGAAGGCCUUCGGGUUGUAAAGCUCUUUCAGCCGGGAAGAAAACGCA